UAACCCAAAUGGCAAGGCUAACUAUUGUGCCGAAAAAAAGGGAAGAAGAAGAAAGAAGAGUCUCUUGUCCCCCCCAACAAAACCCCAACCCUAACAAAAUCCUAACCCCAAUCCAUUCCAAAUGUUUCGUUCCUCUCUGUCUCUGGUUCUUCAAUCCAUUCGAUGAUGACGUGCGUUCCUUUAUUGAGCUUCGAUCUCAAUCUUUGCUCGCGAAUGAGCUUCGAUCUUCUCUGCUCGCAAAUGAGUUUCGAUCCUCUGCUCCUCUUCUUGUUGAGCUUCGAUCCUCUCUGCUUGCGUUCAUCACCGCCGGUCACUAUUCGAUUAUCACUGCUCUUGUUUUUGGUGAGAUUCUCGUUUUUGGCGUUCUUCUGCAGACGUUGGGCUUCUCUUGCCGGAAAUGACGAUUGCUAUUUGAGAAAUUGGGAGAUCAAAGCACAUAGUAGCAUAGCAAGACGGCAAAAAUUGUGUUCCUCUCUUUUCACAUUCAUCUAUACCACCAUCACAAUCUGUCACUCUUUCGAAGGUACUAAUGAUUAUGAUUAUACGAUGGAGUAGAAGAUUUUGAUGACUUGUUGACUAAAUUUGACAAGAAGAAGGGACAGUGUAUAAUGAACCAUACUUGUAAAUUGCCAAUGAAUUGGGAUUAAAGAUUCUUUUUGAUUGUGUGGAAAAUUGCAAAUCUAAUCCCCACAGGUGGCUUCCCUAUAAUUAAUUGUUAUUGUAAUUAAUUCUUUAUUUUGCCUGAAUCAUAUUCCUGUAAACAUUAAUCGAAUAAAGAUUGAUUUGAAGUUUAACUUGCUUGGCAUGAAAUUGAUUUGAAGAUGUAGUAUGUAAUUUGCUUGGGUUGUAAAUAAGAUUUUAGCUGACUAAAUAAGUUUUGUCCGUUCUUACUUAAUUAUAUUCUAAUUUCAUGUAUCUAGAAAUCUCCUAGGAGAAGAAUUGAUAACUUAGAUUUUAAUGAGAUUGAACGGCCUGAGCAUUGGCUGGACUCUUCAUUGAAGCAAAUUAGGCCUAACAAGUAACAAGGUAUGUAAAUUUAGUAGCUGACUCUUAUCAACUUUAUAUUGAGUUCACUGGGCUAAUAUCAUUAUGGUAAUUAGAAAUUAUGUUGGUUGAUUACCUUUAAUUUGUUCAUAGUUGCUUAUAUGUGAUAGUAGUUUAUCGGGAUUUGGUGGUAUAUAUACAGCUAGCUUUGAAGAUUUUCACUUAGUAGUUUUUGGUAUAUUGAAUGCUUCACUAACAAAGGAAUUUCGCAGUGUAAUUUUUUCCAUUUAUUUAUUAAAUUAUUGAGACAGAUAUGGACUUCAAGAUUAAGCUUUUUACAAUUGAUGGCAAAAGAGUGAAGCUUACUAUUUGGGACACAGGUUUUCUUACAAAAAAUAAGAAUCAAUGGGCAUACGCAACUGGUGGAAAGACGACUGGUAAGACGAUGUAGAAAGAUAUGAUGUGUUGAAAGAGAAGAGUCAGAAAGUGAAGUUGAUGAUAAUCCUGAAGCCUUCAAGUGCUAACAAAACAUCAGAACUGCGCUAUGAUCUCUUAUUAAUUGGAAAGAAAGUUUGGGUCAUAAGGUAAAACUUAUUCAGGAUGAGUUUGAUAAAGAUCCUCGGGAGAAUGGUUCUAAGGAUGAAAAUGGUUCCAAAGAUGCUCAUCGUAUUUGCCUCCCCCCCCCCCCCCCCUCCUUUAAGUACAUGUAUUUUGUUAAGGGUCGUUUAUUUAAUUAAUUUGCCAUAUUUUGUUAUGUGAAUUAAAGAGUUAUAAUAAUAUAUUUUAACUUGAUAAUA
This is a long non-coding RNA of Arachis stenosperma, 1781 nucleotides long. RefSeq lists it as uncharacterized. The record is from RefSeq and is a predicted model, not a curated record. NCBI's taxonomy places the organism in Eukaryota, Viridiplantae, Streptophyta, Magnoliopsida, Fabales, Fabaceae. The transcript has 5 exons.